This 253-nucleotide ribosomal RNA is filed under the name uncultured bacterium. RNAcentral's name for it is "partial 16S ribosomal RNA". It matches the Rfam family "Bacterial small subunit ribosomal RNA", at positions 524 to 776 of the family's 1533-position model. The record is from RNAcentral.
UACGUAGGAGGCGAGCGUUGUCCGGAGUUACUGGGCGUAAAGGGUACGCAGGCGGCCGCGCGCGUGGGUGGUGAAAUCUCCCGGCUCAACCGGGAGGGGGCCAUCCAGACGGCGUGGCUUGAGGGUCGGAGAGGGGCGUGGAAUUCCGGGUGGAGCGGUGAAAUGCGUAGAGAUCCGGAGGAACACCGACGGCGAAGGCAGCGCCCUGGACGAUCCCUGACGCUCAGGUACGAAAGCUGGGGGAGCAAACAGG